This 60-nucleotide transfer RNA is filed under the name Detonula confervacea. The record is from RNAcentral. Lineage: Eukaryota; Bacillariophyta; Thalassiosirophyceae; Thalassiosirales; Thalassiosiraceae.
UCUAGCUGAGUUGGUAGAGCUUCGGCUUUACUAGCCGCGUGGUCGUGGGUUCAAUCCCCG